CAAUAGCGUAUAUUUAAGUUGUUGCAGUUAAAAAGCUCGUAGUUGGAUUUCGGAUGGGAUUUGCCGGUCCGUCGUUACGAUGUGCACUGGCCAGUCCUAUCUUGUUGUCGGGGACUAGCUCCUUGGAUUCACUUCCUGGGACUAGGAGCUGACGAGGUUACUUUGAAUAAAUUAGAGUGUUCAAAGCAAGCCUACGCUCUGAAUACAUUAGCAUGGAAUAACACGAUAGGACUCUGGCUUAUCUUGUUGGUCUGUGAGACCAGAGUAAUGAUUAAGAGGGACAGUCGGGGACAUUCGUAUUUCAUUGUCAGAGGUGAAAUUCUUGGAUUUAUGAAAGACGAACUUCUGCGAAAGCAUUUGUCAAGGAUGUUUUCAUUAA
RNAcentral lists this ribosomal RNA (379 nucleotides) under uncultured eukaryote. RNAcentral's name for it is "partial 18S ribosomal RNA". It matches the Rfam family "Eukaryotic small subunit ribosomal RNA", at positions 592 to 976 of the family's 1831-position model. The record is from RNAcentral.